CAGUAGCCGCGGUAAUACGGAGGGGGCUAGCGUUGUUCGGAUUUACUGGGCGUAAAGCGCACGUAGGCGGAUCGAUCAGUCAGGGGUGAAAUCCCAGAGCUCAACUCUGGAACUGCCUUUGAUACUGUCGAUCUGGAGUAUGGAAGAGGUGAGUGGAAUUCCGAGUGUAGAGGUGAAAUUCGUAGAUAUUCGCAAGAACACCAGUGGCGAAGGCGGCUCACUGGCCCGGUACUGACGCUGAGGCGCGAAAGCGUGGGGAGCAAGCAGGAUUAGAUACCCCCGUAGUCCCUGUCUCUUAUAC
RNAcentral lists this ribosomal RNA (301 nucleotides) under uncultured bacterium. RNAcentral describes it as "partial 16S ribosomal RNA". It matches the Rfam family "Bacterial small subunit ribosomal RNA", at positions 509 to 807 of the family's 1533-position model. The record is from RNAcentral.